CCAUGCUCGGAGGCGGGGGGUGCGGGGGGGACCCCGCUCCCGUCCCCAUCACAGGCACCUACCUUCAUCUCCUCGUUGAUCUCCCGCUUCACCGGCAGGACCUCGACUAGACCCUCGAGAAGGCUCUGCUGACAGCAAAGAGUUGCAGGAGUUCAGCCGCAGCAGGGCUUGUGCUGUGGGCUCGGUCCGUUCCACACACCCCAGGACUACAACGUCUGGGCUCAAACCCACCAAGCAGCAAGCAUGAGAAGAAAACAAGAUUACGCAGCUCCAAAACGUUGCUGUUCUGAGUGUCUGUCCAAAUUCCCCUGAGUGAAGCACUGCCCAUCAGAGGAGAUGGCCUGAGAGGCUCUCACAAUGGAAAUUGAGUGGGGAGGGGAACAAAGAGUGACUCUAUGAAGGGGUGCUGACUGAUGAGCCAGUGAGGAGGCAGCUGCGUUCUGAGGGCAUGUGGCACAGGAGGGGCUUGUCCCACUGCCUGUGUUGCUGCUGAGACCCAGUGGGAUCUUUGGCUUUCCGUCUGUGCCAUGUACUGAGCUAACGAAUCCCUGAUGAGCCACUGUAUCCCUGAGCCUGGUGUGCCAUGAAAAGAGUUACACACACCUUCUCUGGCAAAGCAUCCCUAUGUAUCACAGCUAUAUUUACUUGUUUGGAAAAAAUCUUUUGCAUUUGUUAUCAUUUAUUAACCAGCAACGCAUCAAGUUCUGAUAUUGGUAUUAGAGUAGGUAUAAUUAGACUUAAAAAUUAAUACUUUUAAAUGUCAAAUUCUGUCCAAGGGAUGUGACUCCUACUGAAACCAACUGAUGCUAAAUGAUGAUGUUUUUUCAGUGUCUAACUACAGGAUCAAUAAGGCCUUUGCCCUUGUCAGUAGUUCUGUCAGCUGCUAGGAAGACAGGCAGCCUUGCAGACAAGGCACAGACAAGGAGGUCAAGAGAAGUGGAUUCUUUUCUCAGUUUGCCUUAGGGCUUUUGCAAAGCCUUGGACAAAUCGCACAACCUCUCUGUUAAACCUCCUGACUUCCAAAAUGGAAAUGAUCAUAACUAUCUGCUUUCCCAGGAUGCAUUGGAGUAAAUCAGUUCUUGGGAGGAGGGAAAGGUGAGGGGGGAAUGGGUGUUUGUGGGAACAACAACUAAACAGGUGCUUUGGAAGGAACAGACAUAUUUCUGUUCACUUUUAUUUUUGUAAACAGUCUUAGAGUGCACCUGGGAUUUAACAAAUUAAAAAAUUAAGCAGCAUCUAGGAGAUUUGAUCAUGUAGACAUGUUACAGUUACUACAAUAUAUAACAUUGCUAGUCUCAUUCUCCUAUAGGCAUCAUUUAUUUGGUAACUAUGAAAAAUUGAAAGUUCAAAUGCUCCAAAUCAAAUGAGAGUGCUUUAGAAUUGUUUUACUUUAGAUGGCAGUCAGGAAAAUAUUUCCACGUUUCAUUUGCUAGAAAAGAGAUCCAGUGCUGCCAUUAGUAGCGGCUUUGAUGUAUUCUCUGGUACAUUGGUCCAGAGCAUGCUGAUGUAAACAGAAGUGUCUCUUGACCUGUCAUCUUUGUUCUUCAACUUUGAUACUGGCCCCCUCCAGUGGCUCCUUUCUCCUCCUGGGGAGGCUUUAAAAAGUCAAUUGAUACAGGAAAAAAAAGAGUUUCAGUUUUCUUCUCUGCUUAAGACUCUAAAGAAAUA
This is a long non-coding RNA of Camarhynchus parvulus, 1668 nucleotides long. RefSeq lists it as uncharacterized. The record is from RefSeq and is a predicted model, not a curated record. Lineage: Eukaryota; Metazoa; Chordata; Aves; Passeriformes; Thraupidae. The transcript has 4 exons.